GGGGACGUGUGGUUUCGACGGGGUAGGUAUGUUGCGGGAUUGCAGGUUGAGGUCGCCACAGCCCUCAUAAAACAGGUGGCAAAGAACAAAUGGCGAACCUGAAAUGGUUCUUGCUGGCUAAAAUAAGCUAGCACAUUCAGCCUAACCCAGCUCCGGCGGGGUGGGACUGG
This 170-nucleotide transfer-messenger RNA is filed under the name Dehalococcoidia bacterium. RNAcentral describes it as "partial transfer-messenger RNA". It matches the Rfam family "transfer-messenger RNA", at positions 1 to 182 of the family's 374-position model. From Rfam's summary of the family: Bacterial tmRNA, also known as 10Sa RNA or SsrA, is named for its dual tRNA and mRNA-like properties. Its role is to liberate the mRNA from a stalled ribosome. To accomplish this part of the tmRNA is used as a reading frame that ends in a translation stop signal. The record is from RNAcentral. Lineage: Bacteria; Bacillati; Chloroflexota; Dehalococcoidia.